Molecule: ribosomal RNA, 710 nt
Filed under: Bacillus thuringiensis
Lineage: Bacteria; Bacillati; Bacillota; Bacilli; Caryophanales; Bacillaceae
Description: bacterial SSU rRNA
Rfam family: Bacterial small subunit ribosomal RNA
Source: RNAcentral
CCAGAUUGACUUAGUAGUGUAUGAGGGUCUUCGCAGCGCCUUUAGUGCUGAAGUUAACGCAUUAAGUACUCCGCCUGGGGAGUACGGCCGCAAGGCUGAAACUCAAAGGAAUUGACGGGGGCCCGCACAAGCGGUGGAGCAGGUGGUUUAAUUCGAAGCAACGCGAAGAACCUUACCAGGUCUUGACAUCCUCUGACUACCCUAAAGAUAGGGGUUCUCCUUCGGGAGCACAGAGACAGGUGGUGCAUGGUUGUCGUCAGCUCGUGUCGUGAGAUGUUGGGUUAAGUCCCGCAACGAGCGCAACCCUUGAUCUUAGUUGCCAUCAUUUAGUUGGGCACUCUAAGGUGAAUGCCGGUGACAAACCGGAGGAAGGUGGGGAUGACGUCAAAUCAUCAUGCCCCUUAUGACCUGGGCUACACACGUGCUACAAUGGACGGUACAAAGAGCUGCAAGACCGCGAGGUGGAGCUAAUCUCAUAAAACCGUUCUCAGUUCGGAUUGUAGGCUGCAACUCGCCUACAUGAAGCUGGAAUCGCUAGUAAUCGCGGAUCAGAAUGCCGCGGUGAAUACGUUCCCGGGCCUUGUACACACCGCCCGUCACACCACGAGAGUGUGUAGCACCCGAAGUCGGUGGGGUAACCUUUUGGAAGCCGCUCACCAAUGGGGGAAUCAAGAAUGGGGUGAAACCAAAAGGGAAAAAAACAUUUUUUG